GGUUGAUCUCGUUGCUGAGGAUGGCCUGAUCCAUCAGGACUGGUCAUCAUCUAGUAUUGUUGUUGAAGUAUAUAAUGAUCUCCUGGUCCUGCUCAUUUCACUUAGCAUCAGUUCGUGUAAGUCUCUCCAGGCCUUUCUGAAAUCAUCCUGUUGGUCAUUUCUUACAGAACAGUAAUAUUCCAUAAUAUUCAUAUACCACAAUUUAUUCAGCCAUUCUCCAACUGAUGGACAUCCAUUCAGUUUCCAGUUUCUAGCCACUACAAAAAGGGCUGCCACAAACAUUCGUGCACAUACAGGUCUCUUUCCCCUCCUCAUAAUCUCUUUGGGAUAUAAUCCCAGCAGUAACACUGCUGGAUCAAAGGGCAUGCACAGUCCGACAACUUUUUGAGCAUAGUUCCAAACUACUCUCCAAAAUGGUUGGAUUCGGGGAACACUAUUGUUCAAUAAGAAAUGAUCAGCAGGAUGAUUUCAGAGAGAGCUGGAGAGACAUAUUUAGUGAUGCUAAGUGGAGUAGAACCAACAGAACAUUGUACACAGCAACAAGAAAAUUAUGCAAUGAUCUAUUCUGAUGGACAUGGCUCUUUUCAAAAUGAGGUGAAUCAGGGCAAUUCCAAUAGAUUUGUGAUGAAGAGGGAGGAUUGUGAGCACUGAAUGUGAAUCACAACAUAAUAUUUCAUCUUGUUUGCUUUUUAUUAGGAUUUUGAUCUGAUUUUUUUUUCUUGUGCAGAAUGAUACUUGUGGAAAUAUGUAUAGAAGAAUUGCAUAUGUUUAGUAUAUAUUAGAUUACUUUCUCUUUAGGAGAAGGGGUGAAGGGAAAGGAGAGAGAAAAAUUGGAACUCAAGGUUUUGCAAGGAUGAAUGUUGAAAAGUAUCUUUGCAUGUAUUUUUUUUAAAAAGAAAACUUCAAUUUGGGAAAUAAAAUUGGGAAUCCUAGAGUAGCUCAGUGGCACAGUAGAUAGAGCACUGAACCUGGGAAUUAGGAAGACUUGAGUUCCAAUCCAGC
RNAcentral lists this long non-coding RNA (1002 nucleotides) under Sarcophilus harrisii (Tasmanian devil). Its description in RNAcentral is "lncRNA (ENSSHAG00000029347.1)". The record is from RNAcentral. Lineage: Eukaryota; Metazoa; Chordata; Mammalia; Dasyuromorphia; Dasyuridae.